Penaeus vannamei (Pacific white shrimp) is the source of this 362-nucleotide non-coding RNA. NCBI's taxonomy places the organism in Eukaryota, Metazoa, Arthropoda, Malacostraca, Decapoda, Penaeidae. The record is from RefSeq and is a predicted model, not a curated record.
GAAAUAAAAACAAUCGGAAUGUAUAAUUCAGUCGGUAAAGGAACACGCCUACAUUAGUUUGCUUUUCGCUGUAGUUUAAUUUCGACAAAAAUGCGGAGUGUAGAUAGAGAAAACCUAUACCAGCAGCAGUAUCCACUGUAUGCAUACCUAACCCAAAUUUUCAAGACUUUCAUACAUGAAGCUGGAUAAACUUCACACUCUUAAAAUUACACAUUUCUGAGCUGUUGAGAAUGUACUUCAAAAGAAAUUGUUAUGAUAUCGGAGAUAACACUUAAUUCAUUGAAAAAGAAUAACCAUGUUCCAACUGCAGAACUUCUUUGGAAGUUCGUCACAUCCCAGCCACCUUCAUUUCAACCAUAAGG